GACAGAGGGUGCAAACGUUGUUCGGAAUUACUGGGCGUAAAGCGCGUGUAGGCGGUUCGGUAAGUCCGCUGUGAAAGUCGGGGGCUCAACCCUCGGAUGCCGGUGGAUACUGUCGGACUAGAGUACGGAAGAGGCGAGUGGAAUUCCUGGUGUAGCGGUGAAAUGCGCAGAUAUCAGGAGGAACACCGAUUGCGAAGGCAGCUCGCUGGGACGUUACUGACGCUGAGACGCGAAAGCGUGGGGAGCAAACAGG
Molecule: ribosomal RNA, 253 nt
Filed under: uncultured bacterium
Lineage: Bacteria
Description: partial 16S ribosomal RNA
Rfam family: Bacterial small subunit ribosomal RNA
Source: RNAcentral